CAAGUGGUCCGGGCAACCGCCGGCUUAGGCAGGUCUGACAGACUGGCCGAUGCCGGAGGAAAGUCCGAGCUCCACAGGGCAGGGUGCUGGUUAACAGCCAGUCGGCGCGAGCCGAAGGAAAGUGCCACAGAAAUGGACCGCCGAUGGGUACCUUCUGGUACCACAGGCAAGGGUGGAACCGUGAGGUAAGAGCUCACGAGAGAAUAUGGCGACAUAUUCUCUGGUAAACCCCACCCGGAGCAAGACCAGAUAGGGGAUCGAGACGCCUGUCGCGUCUAACCGUGGCCCGCGGUGAUCCCGGGUUGGUCGCUUGAGGUGUGCAGCAAUGCACAUCCCAGAUAGAUGGUUGCCGCUCCAGACGUGCGAGGGAUGAUCGCUCAUCCCGCUUGCAGCACUAGGAGUACAGAACUCGGCUUACAGGACCACUUGUCCA
Molecule: RNase P RNA, 433 nt
Filed under: Bacillus thermozeamaize
Lineage: Bacteria; Bacillati; Bacillota; Bacilli; Caryophanales; Bacillaceae
Description: RNase P RNA component class A
Rfam family: Bacterial RNase P class A
About the family: Ribonuclease P (RNase P) is a ubiquitous endoribonuclease, found in archaea, bacteria and eukarya as well as chloroplasts and mitochondria. Its best characterised activity is the generation of mature 5'-ends of tRNAs by cleaving the 5'-leader elements of precursor-tRNAs.
Source: RNAcentral